RNAcentral lists this transfer RNA (133 nucleotides) under Saccharomyces cerevisiae (brewer's yeast). It matches the Rfam family "tRNA". Rfam says of the family: Transfer RNA (tRNA) molecules are approximately 80 nucleotides in length. Their secondary structure includes four short double-helical elements and three loops (D, anti-codon, and T loops). Lineage: Eukaryota; Fungi; Ascomycota; Saccharomycetes; Saccharomycetales; Saccharomycetaceae. The record is from RNAcentral.
GCUCGUGUAGCUCAGUGGUUAGAGCUUCGUGCUUAUAGCAACAUUCGGUUUCCGAAGUUUCUGUGCCAAAGACCUUUCAAACAGGCCUUUAAUAGCAACGCGACCGUCGUGGGUUCAAUCCCCACCUCGAGCA